GAAUGCUGACAUAAGUAACGAUAAAGCGGGUGAAAAGCCCGCUCGCCGGAAGACCAAGGGUUCCUGUCCAACGUUAAUCGGGGCAGGGUGAGUCGACCCCUAAGGCGAGGCCGAAAGGCGUAGUCGAUGGGAAACAGGUUAAUAUUCCUGUACUUGGUGUUACUGCGAAGGGGGGACGGAGAAGGCUAUGUUAGCCGGGCGACGGUUGUCCCGGUUUAAGCAUGUAGGCUGGUUGUCCAGGCAAAUCCGGAUAAUCAAGGCUGAGGUGUGAUGACGAGGCACUACGGUGCUGAAGUAACAAAUGCCCUGCUUCCAGGAAAAGCCUCUAAGCAUCAGGUAACAUUAAAUCGUACCCCAAACCGACACAGGUGGUCAGGUAGAGAAUACCAAGGCGCUUGAGAGAACUCGGGUGAAGGAACUAGGCAAAAUGGUGCCGUAACUUCGGGAGAAGGCACGCUGGUGUGUAGGUGAAGUCCCUGCGGAUGGAGCUGAGACCAGUCGAAGAUACCAGCUGGCUGCAACUGUUUAUUAAAAACACAGCACUGUGCAAACACGAAAGUGGACGUAUACGGUGUGACGCCUGCCCGGUGCCGGAAGGUUAAUUGAUGGGGUUAUCCGUAAGGAGAAGCUCUUGAUCGAAGCCCCGGUAAACGGCGGCCGUAACUAUAACGGUCCUAAGGUAGCGAAAUUCCUUGUCGGGUAAGUUCCGACCUGCACGAAUGGCGUAAUGAUGGCCAGGCUGUCUCCACCCGAGACUCAGUGAAAUUGAACUCGCUGUGAAGAUGCAGUGUACCCGCGGCAAGACGGAAAGACCCCGUGAACCUUUACUAUAGCUUGACACUGAACAUUGAGCCUUGAUGUGUAGGAUAGGUGGGAGGCUUUGAAGCGUGGACGCCAGUCUGCGUGGAGCCAACCUUGAAAUACCACCCUUUAAUGUUUGAUGUUCUAACGUUGGCCCCUGACCGGGGUUGCGGACAGUGUCUGGUGGGUAGUUUGACUGGGGCGGUCUCCUCCUAAAGCGUAACGGAGGAGCACGAAGGUUAGCUAAUCCUGGUCGGACAUCAGGAGGUUAGUGCAAUGGCAUAAGCUAGCUUGACUGCGAGCGUGACGGCGCGAGCAGGUGCGAAAGCAGGUCAUAGUGAUCCGGUGGUUCUGAAUGGAAGGGCCAUCGCUCAACGGAUAAAAGGUACUCCGGGGAUAACAGGCUGAUACCGCCCAAGAGUUCAUAUCGACGGCGGUGUUUGGCACCUCGAUGUCGGCUCAUCACAUCCUGGGGCUGAAGUAGGUCCCAAGGGUAUGGCUGUUCGCCAUUUAAAGUGGUACGCGAGCUGGGUUUAGAACGUCGUGAGACAGUUCGGUCCCUAUCUGCCGUGGGCGCUGGAGAAUUGAGGGGGGCUGCUCCUAGUACGAGAGGACCGGAGUGGACGCAUCACUGGUGUUCGGGUUGUCAUGCCAAUGGCACUGCCCGGUAGCUAAAUGCGGAAGAGAUAAGUGCUGAAAGCAUCUAAGCACGAAACUUGCCCCGAGAUGAGUUCUCCCUGAGACUU
Molecule: ribosomal RNA, 1547 nt
Filed under: Klebsiella pneumoniae subsp. ozaenae
Lineage: Bacteria; Pseudomonadati; Pseudomonadota; Gammaproteobacteria; Enterobacterales; Enterobacteriaceae
Also listed under: 1 other name
Description: partial 23S ribosomal RNA
Rfam family: Bacterial large subunit ribosomal RNA
Source: RNAcentral